UGGAAACGGGGUCUAAUACCGGAUACUGACCCGCUUGGGCAUCCAAGCGGUUCGAAAGCUCCGGCGGUGCAGGAUGAGCCCGCGGCCUAUCAGCUUGUUGGUGAGGUAAUGGCUCACCAAGGCGACGACGGGUAGCCGGCCUGAGAGGGCGACCGGCCACACUGGGACUGAGACACGGCCCAGACUCCUACGGGAGGCAGCAGUGGGGAAUAUUGCACAAUGGGCGAAAGCCUGAUGCAGCGACGCCGCGUGAGGGAUGACGGCCUUCGGGUUGUAAACCUCUUUCAGCAGGGAAGAAGCGAAAGUGACGGUACCUGCAGAAGAAGCGCCGGCUAACUACGUGCCAGCAGCCGCGGUAAUACGUAGGGCGCGAGCGUUGUCCGGAAUUAUUGGGCGUAAAGAGCUCGUAGGCGGCUUGUCACGUCGGUUGUGAAAGCCCGGGGCUUAACCCCGGGUCUGCAGUCGAUACGGGCAGGCUAGAGUUCGGUAGGGGAGAUCGGAAUUCCUGGUGUAGCGGUGAAAUGCGCAGAUAUCAGGAGGAACACCGGUGGCGAAGGCGGAUCUCUGGGCCGAUACUGACGCUGAGGAGCGAAAGCGUGGGGAGCGAACAGGAUUAGAUACCCUGGUAGUCCACGCCGUAAACGGUGGGCACUAGGUGUGGGCGACUUUCCACGUCGUCCGUGCCGCAGCUAACGCAUUAAGUGCCCCGCCUGGGGAGUACCGCCGCAAGGCUAAAACUCAAAGAAAUUGAC
Molecule: ribosomal RNA, 752 nt
Filed under: Streptomyces tunisiensis
Lineage: Bacteria; Bacillati; Actinomycetota; Actinomycetes; Kitasatosporales; Streptomycetaceae
Description: bacterial SSU rRNA
Rfam family: Bacterial small subunit ribosomal RNA
Source: RNAcentral